RNAcentral lists this ribosomal RNA (1545 nucleotides) under Escherichia coli. Its description in RNAcentral is "partial 23S ribosomal RNA". It matches the Rfam family "Bacterial large subunit ribosomal RNA", at positions 695 to 2222 of the family's 2925-position model. The record is from RNAcentral. Lineage: Bacteria; Pseudomonadati; Pseudomonadota; Gammaproteobacteria; Enterobacterales; Enterobacteriaceae.
UUAAGUUGCAGGGUAUAGACCCGAAACCCGGUGAUCUAGCCAUGGGCAGGUUGAAGGUUGGGUAACACUAACUGGAGGACCGAACCGACUAAUGUUGAAAAAUUAGCGGAUGACUUGUGGCUGGGGGUGAAAGGCCAAUCAAACCGGGAGAUAGCUGGUUCUCCCCGAAAGCUAUUUAGGUAGCGCCUCGUGAAUUCAUCUCCGGGGGUAGAGCACUGUUUCGGCAAGGGGGUCAUCCCGACUUACCAACCCGAUGCAAACUGCGAAUACCGGAGAAUGUUAUCACGGGAGACACACGGCGGGUGCUAACGUCCGUCGUGAAGAGGGAAACAACCCAGACCGCCAGCUAAGGUCCCAAAGUCAUGGUUAAGUGGGAAACGAUGUGGGAAGGCCCAGACAGCCAGGAUGUUGGCUUAGAAGCAGCCAUCAUUUAAAGAAAGCGUAAUAGCUCACUGGUCGAGUCGGCCUGCGCGGAAGAUGUAACGGGGCUAAACCAUGCACCGAAGCUGCGGCAGCGACGCUGAUGCGUUGUUGGGUAGGGGAGCGUUCUGUAAGCCUGUGAAGGUGUGCUGUGAGGCAUGCUGGAGGUAUCAGAAGUGCGAAUGCUGACAUAAGUAACGAUAAAGCGGGUGAAAAGCCCGCUCGCCGGAAGACCAAGGGUUCCUGUCCAACGUUAAUCGGGGCAGGGUGAGUCGACCCCUAAGGCGAGGCCGAAAGGCGUAGUCGAUGGGAAACAGGUUAAUAUUCCUGUACUUGGUGUUACUGCGAAGGGGGGACGGAGAAGGCUAUGUUGGCCGGGCGACGGUUGUCCCGGUUUAAGCGUGUAGGCUGGUUUUCCAGGCAAAUCCGGAAAACUAAGGCUGAGGCGUGAUGACGAGGCACUACGGUGCUGAAGCAACAAAUGCCCUGCUUCCAGGAAAAGCCUCUAAGCAUCAGGUAACAUCAAAUCGUACCCCAAACCGACACAGGUGGUCAGGUAGAGAAUACCAAGGCGCUUGAGAGAACUCGGGUGAAGGAACUAGGCAAAAUGGUGCCGUAACUUCGGGAGAAGGCACGCUGAUAUGUAGGUGAAGUCCCUCGCGGAUGGAGCUGAAAUCAGUCGAAGAUACCAGCUGGCUGCAACUGUUUAUUAAAAACACAGCACUGUGCAAACACGAAAGUGGACGUAUACGGUGUGACGCCUGCCCGGUGCCGGAAGGUUAAUUGAUGGGGUCAGCGCAAGCGAAGCUCUUGAUCGAAGCCCCGGUAAACGGCGGCCGUAACUAUAACGGUCCUAAGGUAGCGAAAUUCCUUGUCGGGUAAGUUCCGACCUGCACGAAUGGCGUAAUGAUGGCCAGGCUGUCUCCACCCGAGACUCAGUGAAAUUGAACUCGCUGUGAAGAUGCAGUGUACCCGCGGCAAGACGGAAAGACCCCGUGAACCUUUACUAUAGCUUGACACUGAACAUUGAGCCUUGAUGUGUAGGAUAGGUGGGAGGCUUUGAAGUGUGGACGCCAGUCUGCAUGGAGCCGACCUUGAAAUACCACCCUUUAAUGUUUGAUGUUC